AAUUUGAUGCACAUUGGUGUUUCUAUCGAUUGAUUAUAUAAAAAAUUAACAUGAUAUUAUAAAAUUUUUUAAAUGAAAGAUAAUUUAAAAUUAUCACGUUCUCAAAUUAUCCAAUCAGAUUGGAUAAAAAUCCAACAUGGCGUUAUAUUAUAAAAAAUAAUAAAAAAUAUAAUUUAUAAAAAUCCAUAAAAAUGCGAAACUUAUAUGCAUAUAAUUGCAUAUAAAAUUUUUAAAUUAUUAAAAUUAUUAUUUUUAAAUUCUGCAUAUCGAAAUUUAUAAAAACGCAUAAGUCAAAAAAUUUUAAUUAUUUAAAUUAAUAUUAUUUAAAUUAAUAUUAAUAUUAAUAAUAGUGAUAGUUAUAAAAUAUUAAUAAAAAUAAUAAAAUAUAUUUGUAAAUUAUAGAAUGUUUUAUUACAUUUAUUACCAAGUCAAAAUAUAAAAAUUACUUUUCAUUCACAGUAACUUUAUACUAUAUCUUGUAGUACAUUAGAAAUUACUUUAAGUUUGCAGUUGAAUGUUCCAAUUUCAUGUUAAUUACCUUGCUAGAUACAAUUGAAACAAGUGAAGAUUUAUCUUUACAAAAAUAGGAAUUACAAUGGCAGGUUUUAUAAAAUUAGUAAAAAAUGUUUAUUAUGAUCCUUUUAAGUGGUCAGUAGUUAAAAGCAUUGGAUUAUUUGUAUUAGGUGUAAAAAUUGCUGUUGAAUGUAAAGGAAUGAAUGUAAUGCCAUCAAUUUCUUAGAAAUUAAAAUGUAGGAAUUAAAAAAAAAAAAAAAAAAAAAAAAAAUAGAAAUUAUUAAUGUAUUUGUCUUAUUGUACAUGUGCAUAUAUAUUUUAUUAUUUCCAUAUAAAAAAUAUUAAAAUAAGCAAAAUAUUUGUUUUAUCUUAUUUCCUUGAAUUAUUUAUUUAUUUAUUAUAUAAUGAUUAACAAUAUAUGAGCAUUAUUAUAUAUCAUUAUAAGAAAUAUAAAACAAUUAUAUAAUUAUAUAUUAUAUACUAUAGGAUGUUCCAUUAAAAUCAAUAUUUUUAAAAACUC
Molecule: long non-coding RNA, 1033 nt
Organism: Apis cerana (Asiatic honeybee)
Lineage: Eukaryota; Metazoa; Arthropoda; Insecta; Hymenoptera; Apidae
Source: RefSeq, a predicted model, not a curated record